Molecule: transfer RNA, 72 nt
Filed under: Candidatus Staskawiczbacteria bacterium
Lineage: Bacteria; Candidatus Staskawicziibacteriota
Description: tRNA-Thr
Rfam family: tRNA
About the family: Transfer RNA (tRNA) molecules are approximately 80 nucleotides in length. Their secondary structure includes four short double-helical elements and three loops (D, anti-codon, and T loops).
Source: RNAcentral
GCCGGAGUAACUCAGAGGCAGAGUAACUCUUUCGUAAAGAGUAAGUCGCGAGUUCGAAUCACGCCUCCGGCU